Molecule: ribosomal RNA, 520 nt
Filed under: uncultured Glomus
Lineage: Eukaryota; Fungi; Glomeromycota; Glomeromycetes; Glomerales; Glomeraceae
Description: SSU rRNA
Rfam family: Eukaryotic small subunit ribosomal RNA
Source: RNAcentral
AGCAGCCGCGGUAAUUCCAGCUCCAAUAGCGUAUAUUAAAGUUGUUGCAGUUAAAAAAGCUCGUAGUUGAAUUUCGGGAUUGACGUAAUGGUCAUGCCUUAAGGGGUAUGAACUGUUACAGUUGAUUUCUCACCUUCUGGAGAAACUUGAUGUCCUUUAUUGGGUGUCUUGCGGAUCCAGGACCUUUACCUUGAAAAAAAUUAGAGUGUUUAAAGCAGGCAUUUUUGCUCGAAUACAUUAGCAUGGAAUAAUAGAAUAGGACGGCAUGGUUCUAUUUUGUUGGUUUCUAGGAUCACCGUAAUGAUUAAUAGGGAUAGUUGGGGGCAUUAGUAUUCAAUUGUCAGAGGUGAAAUUCUUGGAUUUAUUGAAGACUAACUACUGCGAAAGCAUUUGCCAAGAAUGUUUUCAUUAAUCAAGAACGAAAGUUGGGGGACUCGAAGACGAUCAGAUACCGUCCUAGUUUCAACCAUAAACGAUGCCGACCAGGGAUCGGCGGAUGUUGUCUUUUAGGACUCCGCCG